This is a long non-coding RNA of Lycium ferocissimum, 977 nucleotides long. RefSeq lists it as uncharacterized. NCBI's taxonomy places the organism in Eukaryota, Viridiplantae, Streptophyta, Magnoliopsida, Solanales, Solanaceae. The transcript has 2 exons. The record is from RefSeq and is a predicted model, not a curated record.
GAGUAUGUAUAUGAGGUAAUGUGAGUGACCUUUUAAAGUAUUUGAGAUUAUUAGUAAUGAUAUAGAAGAUGGACAAAAGAUAUGAAUAUAUUUUUGCGAUUGGAGUUUUGUCGAAGCUUCGUAAGUUCUCUAGUUACGUUUAAGGUUAUUGUGAUUCUCCGGACCCUUCGAGAUGUGUAUGGAUUGUUAUGUAUGUAUAUGAUUAUGUAUAUGAAUGUAUAAGAGGUUACAUGAGGGUUGGAAAAGGAUUAUAAGUUAAACGAAUCUGAACGAAAUGAAUCGGAACAACUUCAGAAAAAAUCUCGGACCAGAUUUUUAGCCCAUAUUGUUGGAGGCAUACCUCCUAGUAUAUGAGGAGUUUUAAGGUGUUUCAAAAGCCUAAAAUGAAGUUCAUCGAGUCUAGUUUUCAACGCAACAAACCGCUCGUCAAAAUGAUAUCGGAAUAAGGAGAUAUGGACGAUGCAAGUUGGGCUGGCGGGGCAGAAACUGGAGACCCGAUCCAAACACUCAUAUUUCGGCCCAUGAGGCCCAUUAAACUUAAUAUAUAAGUCACCACUUCUCCCUAUAUCACCUAACACGACCAAAAACAGAUCCAAGGACCCUUAUUUUCUCUCCUAAACCCCCUUUCUAAUUGAGCCAUCAUAUAAGCUAAAUCCUAGACCCUUGACAUGAUAUUAGUUAAAGAGAAGUUGUAGCCUAAGUUUUCUUUGUGUUGUUAAGCAAGCAGCUGGAAAGAGGAACAAUAUUCUUGAAGAUUCUGAUUGUUAAAGGAAACGUUGAUAUGCAAGCUAGAGAGAGAGAAAGCAUAAGCCAUGGCAUUCGGCCAUGGCUAGAAAAAUUGGAGCUCAAAUUUGUUGAUCUAAAAAUCAGAUUUUCUAGUUAUUUCAUCCCUUAUGAAGGUGAUAAUAACAUGGAGAAGUCAUUUGGAGCAACAAGAACAAGUAUUAGUUCAUUUCACAAAUUCUAGCUAAGUGGAA